AUCCGGUCGAUCCUGCCGGAAUCCGACGCUCUCCUCAAGGACGCAAGCCAUGCAUGCCCGCACACCCGGGAAGCGGCGGACGGCUCAGGACGACGGUUGCACCCCCCGCGGCGGUCCCUGCUAGACGGACAACGCUGGCAACCCGGCGCCAAGACGUGCGCGCAAGUGCGCCCGCCCCCGCGGCGAGCAGCGCAACGCAGCGACGGGCCGCCCGGGCUUCCGCGGCAUCACCUGGUCGGCGCGGUCGCGGCGGGCCGAGGGCGCGACGCCUGGCGGAGAAUCAGGGUUCGAC
This 292-nucleotide ribosomal RNA is filed under the name Giardia psittaci. RNAcentral describes it as "partial small subunit ribosomal RNA". It matches the Rfam family "Eukaryotic small subunit ribosomal RNA", at positions 1 to 381 of the family's 1831-position model. Lineage: Eukaryota; Fornicata; Diplomonadida; Hexamitidae. The record is from RNAcentral.